GAUGAACGCUGGCGGCGUGCCUAACACAUGCAAGUCGAACGGAGAUUACGGACGGAAGUUUUCGGAUGGAAGACUGUAAUUUUUAGUGGCGGACGGGUGAGUAACGCGUGGGCAACCUGCCCUAUACAGGGGGAUAGCAGCUGGAAACGGCUGGUAAGACCGCAUAAGUCGGCGAGACCGCAUGGUUUUGCCGGGAAAUGAGCAAUCAGGUAUAGGAUGGGCCCGCGUCCGAUUAGCCAGUUGGCAGGGUAAAAGCCUACCAAAGCAACGAUCGGUAGCCGGACUGAGAGGUCGGACGGCCACAUUGGGACUGGGACACGGCCCAAACUCCUACGGGAGGCAGCAGUGGGGGAUAUUGCACAAUGGAGGAAACUCUGAUGCAGCGACGCCGCGUGAGUGAAGAAGUAUUUCGGUAUGUAAAGCUCUAUCAGCAGGGAAGAUGAUGACGGUACCUGACUAAAAAGCCCCGGCUAACUACGUG
Molecule: ribosomal RNA, 481 nt
Filed under: uncultured bacterium
Lineage: Bacteria
Description: partial 16S ribosomal RNA
Rfam family: Bacterial small subunit ribosomal RNA
Source: RNAcentral